UGGUCUUUUAUUUGUAAGUCGCUCUGGAUAAGAGCGUCUGCUAAAUGACGAAAA
Molecule: non-coding RNA, 54 nt
Organism: Salmo salar (Atlantic salmon)
Lineage: Eukaryota; Metazoa; Chordata; Actinopteri; Salmoniformes; Salmonidae
Source: Rfam